UAUAAUCGAGGUGCAACUAAUUCAUAGAAAUAAACAAGGAACAACCUUGUUAAAACCCGAAUAAUAAGAUAGAGAGUCGGGCUAGGCCCCUUUGGAUCACAAGUUUUGUUUCAUGUUUCUGACAACCGACGUUCAUUAACAUACAACUAGAAAUUUGAAAUUGAAGCUCGACAUGAAGUCAUCUUAAGUUGAGAAAACAAAAGGUGUAUAAGAGUUAUUACUACAGCGGAAGUCUAUAUAGAAAUUGAACCUUAGCCUCAGCUCAGUCCCGUCAGCACCGGCCAGCCAACCUGAAAACAUUUGAAAGUAUUUUUGGGCUAAGUACUAAUGUACUCAGUGGGCAAGCAUUUUCAUAAACAUUUCAUAUUUUCGUAAAGACAGUUUAUCCAAUCAUACUUGACAUGACUUAGAAGGUUUUAAAUUGAAAGAACUUCUAAGCAUGUUAAAAUAAUUUCUUUCAUUUGUGCGCACAUGUCACACUCCCUUUCUGUUACUCGCUGUGAUCCCGGACCUCUAGCCACCGACGGAUCCAUUUCUCCCAUUGCACUUGCCCUGAGGACGUAACUCAGACAAGUUGAAUUGACCUCGGGACGCUACCCAGGCAGGCCUUACAUGAUACAUGCUCCGGAACACAUCCCGUCGAGCACCCUUAUAACGCCUCUGGCCAGUGCCCGAUGGAGAUCAACCCACCAGGUCAGCUAGCAUGUGUACACGAUUCUCAGACAACGUGUUAGGUCAUAAGAGAACCUCAAUUGAUUAACUUUGCGAGCCUUAAACAGAGCAGAGUGCACAUAAACAUUUUAUUGGAUAAACAAUUUGCAUUUCAUUAAAUAAACAGUUUGCAGUUCAUUGAAACAUUUAGUGCUUAAUAACUCAAUCAUACUUUAUACAUUUGGAAAGUAAGCCCACCUGGAUAGGCAAAGCCUGAAGAUCAUAAUCACAUAAACUCGUCUUGGAAAAGCAGCGCUAAUCCCCUUGGUUCAUAAAGCCU
Molecule: long non-coding RNA, 991 nt
Filed under: Salvia miltiorrhiza (redroot sage)
Lineage: Eukaryota; Viridiplantae; Streptophyta; Magnoliopsida; Lamiales; Lamiaceae
Description: long non-coding RNA (SMIL_LNC007988)
Source: RNAcentral